Molecule: long non-coding RNA, 857 nt
Organism: Quercus lobata
Lineage: Eukaryota; Viridiplantae; Streptophyta; Magnoliopsida; Fagales; Fagaceae
Exons: 2
Source: RefSeq, a predicted model, not a curated record
AGUUGAAAAUCUUACAAAUUUUGUGAAAGUUAGAUUAUUUAAGGUUUUUCUGAAAUUAUGUGGAUAUAAACUCUGUAUUUGAAAGUACAUGUAUACUUGUGAGCUUUAUGUUGUUUUAACCUUAUGUCAUGUGUGAUUUCCCAAUGAUCACCCAAUUGAUUUCCAUAGUUUUCGUGGCAAUGGAAUCAGAUCUAGGUCAGUGCUCUUUCACUUUGGAUGACGCGUUCUUCCCUACUGCCCAUGGGGGGAAGAGGUUCCUUAAUUGUGUGUGGGUGAGGUUGCUGCCAAAAGACCACAUGCAAAAGAGGUCCUAUUUAACACGUUUUACCUGCUGUCCAUGGAGGUAGAGAAAAACCUUGAGGGUAUGGGUGAGAUUGCUGCCCAUGGAGCCAAAAGACUGUAUAUCAGAGAGGACAAUAUCAUUCCAGUUGUGAAUGGGUGGAUCUUCUGACCGGUCUAUGUGGUAGUGUGGUAUAUUUGUGAUAAAUUACCUUAUGUUUGAGUUUACGGCUUUGGAAUUAUAUUGCUAGUGCUCACAAAUUACAGUAUAUAGUUUCAAGAUUAAUUAGCUAUACCUUGGGUCUGGAGCUUACUUCAUUGGUGACGAUUGAAGUGCUAUGUUAAAUUUGGAGACUUUUGCUGUAAAUGGUUGGUGACUCGAUUUUGCUAUGUCCAAUGAAACCUUAAUUGAUUCUAUUGGAGGUUGGUCGCUUGAGGUUUGUUAGUCUUAGGUGUGGUAUGUCUAGAUUUGGUGUUAAGGUUCCUUAUUCUUGGUAAGAUUGUGAGUUUGUGUAAUCCAAUUGGAGUUUUGUAAUAUAUUCAUGUAUUAUGUGGAGGCACAUGACUUUUUUGUUAUU